CAUGCAGUCGACGAUGACCACUUCGGUGGGGAUUAGUGGCGAACGGGUGAGUAACACGUGGGCAAUCUGCCCUUCACUCUGGGACAAGCCCUGGAAACGGGGUCUAAUACCGGAUAUGAGCCUGGGAGGCAUCUCCUGGGUUGUAAAGCUCCGGCGGUGAAGGAUGAGCCCGCGGCCUAUCAGCUUGUUGGUGAGGUAAUGGCUCACCAAGGCGACGACGGGUAGCCGGCCUGAGAGGGCGACCGGCCACACUGGGACUGAGACACGGCCCAGACUCCUACGGGAGGCAGCAGUGGGGAAUAUUGCACAAUGGGCGAAAGCCUGAUGCAGCGACGCCGCGUGAGGGAUGACGGCCUUCGGGUUGUAAACCUCUUUCAGCAGGGAAGAAGCGAAAGUGACGGUACCUGCAGAAGAAGCGCCGGCUAACUACGUGCCAGCAGCCGCGGUAAUACGUAGGGCGCAAGCGUUGUCCGGAAUUAUUGGGCGUAAAGAGCUCGUAGGCGGCUUGUCACGUCGAUUGUGAAAGCCCGAGGCUUAACCUCGGGUCUGCAGUCGAUACGGGCUAGCUAGAGUGUGGUAGGGGAGAUCGGAAUUCCUGGUGUAGCGGUGAAAUGCGCAGAUAUCAGGAGGAACACCGGUGGCGAAGGCGGAUCUCUGGGCCAUUACUGACGCUGAGGAGCGAAAGCGUGGGGAGCGAACAGGAUUAGAUACCCUGGUAGUCCACGCCGUAAACGGUGGGAACUAGGUGUUGGCGACAUUCACGUCGUCGGUGCCGCAGCUAACGCAUUAAGUUCCCCGCCUGGGGAGUACGG
This 812-nucleotide ribosomal RNA is filed under the name Streptomyces sp. Its description in RNAcentral is "bacterial SSU rRNA". It matches the Rfam family "Bacterial small subunit ribosomal RNA", at positions 54 to 885 of the family's 1533-position model. Lineage: Bacteria; Bacillati; Actinomycetota; Actinomycetes; Kitasatosporales; Streptomycetaceae. The record is from RNAcentral.